GCUCAGAUUGAACGCUGGCGGUAUGCCUANCACAUGCAAGUCGAACGGUAACAGAGAGAAGCUUGCUUCUUUGCUGACGAGUGGCGGACGGGUGAGUAACGCGUGGGAAUCUACCCAGUAGUUGGGGAUAGCCCGGAGAAAUCCGGAUUAAUACCGAAUAAUGUCUACGGACGAAAAGGUGCCUCCUCUUGAAAGCACUUGCUAUUGGAUGAGCCCGCGUUAGAUUAGUUUGUUGGUGGGGUAACGGCCUACCAAGACUGCGAUCUAUAGCUGGUUUGAGAGGAUGAUCAGCCACAUUGGGACUGAGACACGGCCCAGACUCCUACGGGAGGCAGCAGUGGGGAAUAUUGGACAAUGGGCGCAAGCCUGAUCCAGCAAUACCGCGUGUGUGAAGAAGGCCUAGGGUUGUAAAGCACUUUUAUGUAGGAAGAACGGUUGUGAGUUAAUAGCUCAUGACUUUGACGGUACUACAAGAAUAAGCACCGGCUAACUCCGUGCCAGCAGCCGCGGUAAUACGGAGGGUGCGAGCGUUAAUCGGAAUUACUGGGCGUAAAGGGUACGUAGGCGGCUUGAUAAGUCAGAUGUGAAAUCCCCGGGCUUAACCUGGGAACUGCAUUUGAAACUGUCUGGCUAGAGUGAGUGAGAGGUUAGUGGAAUUCAAGGCGUAGCGGUGAAAUGCGUAGAGGUCUUGAGGAACAUCAGUGGCGAAGGCGACUAACUGGCACUACA
Molecule: ribosomal RNA, 729 nt
Filed under: uncultured Gammaproteobacteria bacterium
Lineage: Bacteria; Pseudomonadati; Pseudomonadota; Gammaproteobacteria
Description: bacterial SSU rRNA
Rfam family: Bacterial small subunit ribosomal RNA
Source: RNAcentral